RNAcentral lists this ribosomal RNA (460 nucleotides) under uncultured bacterium. RNAcentral describes it as "partial 16S ribosomal RNA". It matches the Rfam family "Bacterial small subunit ribosomal RNA", at positions 338 to 795 of the family's 1533-position model. The record is from RNAcentral.
CCUACGGGAGGCAGCAGUGAGGAAUAUUGGUCAAUGGGCGCGAGCCUGAACCAGCCAAGUAGCGUGAAGGAUGACUGCCCUACGGGUUGUAAACUUCUGUUAUAAAGGAAUAAAGUGAGGCACGUGUGCCUUUUUGUAUGUACUUUAUGAAUAAGGAUCGGCUAACUCCGUGCCAGCAGCCGCGGUAAUACGGAGGAUCCGAGCGUUAUCCGGAUUUAUUGGGUUUAAAGGGUGCGUAGGCGGCCUUUUAAGUCAGCGGUGAAAGUCUGUGGCUCAACCAUAGAAUUGCCGUUGAAACUGGCAGGCUUGAGUAUGUUUGCGGUAGGCGGAAUGCGUGGUGUAGCGGUGAAAUGCUUAGAUAUCACGCAGAACCCCGAUUGCGAAGGCAGCCUGCCAAGCCAUGACUGACGCUGAUGCACGAACGCGUGGGUAUCAAACAGGAUUAGAUACCCCGGUAGUC